UAUUGUGAUUGCCAUUUCACAGAUCAGGAAACGGAGAUAAUGACAAAUGAAGUGACUCUUUCUGAGGACUAACAGAUGUAAGUAGAGGAAUCAGAAUUUGGAUCCAGGAUGGAAACAAAGCCUACACUUACAAGAUGUGCAGAGGAGAAAGGUUUACCACAGCUGCUCGAGGAAGAUGGACCCAAAAUAAGAAAUUUUCUACUUGGAUUUGGGGAACCAGUAAAUUCAUUCAGCUUUUCUUCAUUAAUGAUGCUAUGAAUAGUCAAAUCGAAAAAUUAAUUCCUACAAGACUAAGUGGAUAAAUUGUCACCCUUUGACCCCUCAAAGAAUUAGAUCUAAAUAUAGUUUUAUGGUCAGCCCACUCUACACUUGUCAGUAGCCCGACCAAAUAAAUCAACAUUUUAAACUUAAUGCAACUAGGGGUGAGAUUAUGUGAAAUAAAUUCCAUCUUGUUUAUAUAGAGUGAGA
This is a long non-coding RNA of Neofelis nebulosa (Clouded leopard), 468 nucleotides long. RefSeq lists it as uncharacterized. NCBI's taxonomy places the organism in Eukaryota, Metazoa, Chordata, Mammalia, Carnivora, Felidae. The record is from RefSeq and is a predicted model, not a curated record. The transcript has 3 exons.